CCUACGGGGGGCAGCAGUGGGGAAUAUUGGACAAUGGGGGGAACCCUGAUCCAGCCAUGCCGCGUGUGUGAAGAAGGCCCUCGGGUUGUAAAGCACUUUCAGUGAGGAAGAACGCCUGGUGGUUAAUACCCAUCAGGAAAGACAUCACUCACAGAAGAAGCACCGGCUAACUCCGUGCCAGCAGCCGCGGUAAUACGGAGGGUGCGAGCGUUAAUCGGAAUUACUGGGCGUAAAGCGCGCGUAGGUGGCUUGAUAAGCCGGUUGUGAAAGCCCCGGGCUCAACCUGGGAACGGCAUCCGGAACUGUCAAGCUAGAGUGCAGGAGUGGAAGGUGGAAUUCCCGGUGUAGCGGUGAAAUGCGUAGAGAUCGGGAGGAAUACCAGUGGCGAAGGCGGCCUUCUGGACUGACACUGACACUGAGGUGCGAAAGCGUGGGUAGCAAACAGGAUUAGAUACCCUAGUAGUC
RNAcentral lists this ribosomal RNA (465 nucleotides) under Vreelandella stevensii. RNAcentral describes it as "partial 16S ribosomal RNA". It matches the Rfam family "Bacterial small subunit ribosomal RNA", at positions 338 to 795 of the family's 1533-position model. Lineage: Bacteria; Pseudomonadati; Pseudomonadota; Gammaproteobacteria; Oceanospirillales; Halomonadaceae. The record is from RNAcentral.